Molecule: unclassified non-coding RNA, 501 nt
Filed under: uncultured Glomus
Lineage: Eukaryota; Fungi; Glomeromycota; Glomeromycetes; Glomerales; Glomeraceae
Description: SSU rRNA
Rfam family: Eukaryotic small subunit ribosomal RNA
Source: RNAcentral
CCAAUAGCGUAUAUUAAAGUUGUUGCAGUUAAAAAGCUCGUAGUUGAAUUUCGGGAUCAAUAUUUCGGUCAUGCCGUUGGUAUGCACUGUUAUCAUUGAUUUCUCACCUUCUAAAGAACCGUAAUGCCAUUAAUUUGGUGUUACGGGGAAUUAGGACUGUUACCUUGAAAAAAUUAGAGUGUUUAAAGCAGGCUCACGCUUGAAUACAUUAGCAUGGAAUAAUGAAAUAGGAAAUCCGAUUCUAUUUUGUUGGUUUCUAGGAUCGAUGUAAUGAUUAAUAGGGAUAGUUGUGGGCAUUAGUAUUCAAUUGUCAGAGGUGAAAUUCUUGGAUUUAUUGAAGACUAACUACUGCGAAAGCAUUUGCCAAGGAUGUUUUCAUUAAUCAAGAACGAAAGUUAGGGGAUCGAAGACGAUCAGAUACCGUCGUAGUCUUAACCAUAAACUAUGCCGACUAGGGAUCGGAUGAUGUUAAUUUUUUAAUGACUCAUUCGGCGCCUUACG